UACGUAGGGAGCAAGCGUUGUCCGGAAUCAUUGGGCGUAAAGCGCGCGUAGGUGGCCUCAUAAGUCCGCUGUGAAAGUCAAAGGCUCAACCUUUGAAAGCCGGUGGAUACUGUGAGGCUAGAGUACGGAAGAGGCGAGUGGAAUUCCUGGUGUAGCGGUGGAAUGCGCAGAUAUCAGGAGGAACACCAAUAGCGAAGGCAGCUCGCCGGGACGUUACUGACACUGAGGCGCGAAAGCGUGGGGAGCGAACAGG
Molecule: ribosomal RNA, 253 nt
Filed under: uncultured bacterium
Lineage: Bacteria
Description: partial 16S ribosomal RNA
Rfam family: Bacterial small subunit ribosomal RNA
Source: RNAcentral